RNAcentral lists this ribosomal RNA (1140 nucleotides) under Pseudoclavibacter sp. Its description in RNAcentral is "bacterial SSU rRNA". It matches the Rfam family "Bacterial small subunit ribosomal RNA", at positions 67 to 1214 of the family's 1533-position model. The record is from RNAcentral. Lineage: Bacteria; Bacillati; Actinomycetota; Actinomycetes; Micrococcales; Microbacteriaceae.
CGAUGAAGCCCAGCUUUGCUGGGUGGAUUAGUGGCGAACGGGUGAGUAACACGUGAGCAACGUGCCCAUAACUCUGGGAUAACCUCCGGAAACGGUGGCUAAUACUGGAUAUCUAACACGAUCGCAUGGUCUGUGUUUGGAAAGAUUUUUUGGUUAUGGAUCGGCUCACGGCCUAUCAGCUUGUUGGUGAGGUAAUGGCUCACCAAGGCGACGACGGGUAGCCGGCCUGAGAGGGUGACCGGCCACACUGGGACUGAGACACGGCCCAGACUCCUACGGGAGGCAGCAGUGGGGAAUAUUGCACAAUGGGCGAAAGCCUGAUGCAGCAACGCCGCGUGAGGGAUGACGGCCUUCGGGUUGUAAACCUCUUUUAGUAGGGAAGAAGCGAAAGUGACGGUACCUGCAGAAAAAGCACCGGCUAACUACGUGCCAGCAGCCGCGGUAAUACGUAGGGUGCAAGCGUUGUCCGGAAUUAUUGGGCGUAAAGAGCUCGUAGGCGGUUUGUCGCGUCUGCUGUGAAAUCCCGAGGCUCAACCUCGGGUCUGCAGUGGGUACGGGCAGACUAGAGUGUGUAAGGGGAAAAUUGGAAUUCCUGGUGUAGCGGUGGAAUGCGCAGAUAUCAGGAGGAACACCGAUGGCGAAGGCAGAUCUCUGGGCCAUUACUGACGCUGAGGAGCGAAAGCAUGGGGAGCGAACAGGAUUAGAUACCCUGGUAGUCCAUGCCGUAAACGUUGGGCGCUAGAUGUGGGGACCAUUCCACGGUUUCCGUGUCGUAGCUAACGCAUUAAGCGCCCCGCCCGGGGGAGUACGGCCGCAAGGCUAAAACUCAAAGGAAUUGACGGGGGCCCGCACAAGCGGCGGAGCAUGCGGAUUAAUUCGAUGCAACGCGAAGAACCUUACCAAGGCUUGACAUAUACCGGAAACGUUCAGAAAUGUUCGCCCCGCAAGGUCGGUAUACAGGUGGUGCAUGGUUGUCGUCAGCUCGUGUCGUGAGAUGUUGGGUUAAGUCCCGCAACGAGCGCAACCCUCGUCGUAUGUUGCCAGCACGUAAUGGUGGGAACUCAUAUGAAACUGCCGGGGUCAACUCGGAAGAAAGGUGGGGGAUGACGUCCAAUCAUCAUGCCCCCUUAUGUCUGGGGG